CAGAGUUCAUGCCCUUACGGGUAGAUCUCCCACCCUAUGUCAUUAUUACAUCGUUGCUUUGGCGGGCCGCCCGGCCUCGGUCAGGCUACCGGCUCCGCUGGUACGCGCCCGCCAGAGGAAACCAAACUCUGAGUUUAGUGUCGUCUGAGUACUAUACAAUAGUUA
RNAcentral lists this unclassified non-coding RNA (165 nucleotides) under uncultured Ascomycota. RNAcentral's name for it is "sequence contains ITS1". The record is from RNAcentral. Lineage: Eukaryota; Fungi; Ascomycota.